Helianthus annuus (common sunflower) is the source of this 1144-nucleotide long non-coding RNA. RefSeq lists it as uncharacterized. The transcript is spliced from 6 exons. The record is from RefSeq and is a predicted model, not a curated record. NCBI's taxonomy places the organism in Eukaryota, Viridiplantae, Streptophyta, Magnoliopsida, Asterales, Asteraceae.
CCUCAAGCAUUGCAUCCCUCAUUCUCUCCAGAGAUUUAUUAAUCCGCAUAUAUCGGAUGUGUUCUAUUUUCUAGUGCUUCUAAGAAGAGGAGGAUGUCUUCCCCAAAUUCAACUUCAUCUCUAAUUUCCAGAUCUGCAACUAGGUUUCACUCAAAUUCCAAUACUUUCAACACCACAAGCUAUCAAUUCCGGUAGGAAUCAUCUGUUUUUCAUAUCAGCGGCUGUUGUUCUCCUUUUCGUAGCUUAUUUUUCAACUUAUUAAUGUGUAUAUAUAUACACACAUCGUACAAAUCUUAUUUCACCCCUCUAUCUUAGCUCUGCAUCAAAACCCUAAAUACAUCUCUACUCAAAUCUACCAGAUUUCGAGGAUGACAAUUCUUCUCAUGCUAGAAGUGAUAACAUUGACUGGAAUACUGAAGAUGAGUUUGAGAUAGCGAAUAUAUCAUAACCUUUGUCAUUUUCCAUGAGUACCACUGCUAAUGCAGCAGGAGUUACAACUGAAGUUGGGGAGGUAGUUAUAUAAAUAUAAUUCCACACACUGGUCCACAUGGAUUGUUAUUAGAUUUUGUCUGUUUUUGCAAACUUGCUAUUGUUUCUUUAAUUUGGUGGAUGUUGUCAAGUUCUUCUAGCAGUUAUCCCUCCAAGAUUGUUAAUGACUUUCUCAAAAUGGGAUUUUCCGAAGCAAUGGUGACUAACGUCAUAUUCUUUGAAUAUGGAAGUGGAAGCUCACGAGACUGGGUUGCUAAAGAUCCAAAGCUAGAUAUAUUCGAAAAUUGGAGAUAACAUCGUAAUCAGAGAAGAAACUUUUAGUCGGUAACGAGGUACAUGCAAGGAGGAAGGUGUUGUUAUCAGAUUCUGUUGGUCUAUGUCAAUCUAAGAACAAAGGUCUAGAAUUUUGACUAAAGUCGCGUGACUAUUCAACGCGUGGAGCGAAUUAGGGAGCUGUGAUCAUACGGAUGACUAAAGUCGCGUGAACAUUGAGCGCGUGGAACGAAUUAGGGAGCUGGUCGUUAGGUAUCUUUGGAGCUUGCACGAGCAGGAGGAGUCAAUGUGGAGCAUGUACGGUUGUGUGCCAUGUUACAUUUAAACUUAUUGAACUUAUAUUUUGGUUUUAUGUUUUAUGCUUCCGCUAUUUAACUUGAAC